AAACAGGUUUUUCUCAAAACCAAAGAGUAAAUUCAAUGAACCAUACU
Non-coding RNA from Monodelphis domestica (gray short-tailed opossum), 47 nucleotides. The record is from Rfam. NCBI's taxonomy places the organism in Eukaryota, Metazoa, Chordata, Mammalia, Didelphimorphia, Didelphidae.